This 271-nucleotide ribosomal RNA is filed under the name uncultured eukaryote. RNAcentral describes it as "partial 18S ribosomal RNA". It matches the Rfam family "Eukaryotic small subunit ribosomal RNA", at positions 619 to 897 of the family's 1831-position model. The record is from RNAcentral.
UUAAAAAGCUCGUAGUUGGAUUUCUGGUCGAGUGUCCCUAGGCCGACUUGACGUUUGGUCCUAGGCGCCUCUGCCAUCCUUCUGUUAACUCUCGCCCACGUUCGUUCGUGGCGUUAGGGCUCAGAUAUUUUACCUUGAGAAAAUUAGAGUGCUUCAGGCAGGCUUUCGCCGGAAUACAUUAGCAUGGAAUAAUGGAAAAGGACUUCAACCUCUUCUGUUGGUCUGAGAGGAUGUAGUAAUGAUUAAUAGGGAUAGUUGGGGGCAUUAGUAC